CAUACAACCCUGAAUGCGCCUGAGCUUGCCUGAUCUUGGAAGCUAAGCAGGGUCGGGCCUGGUUAGUACUUGGAGUCAGGUC
This 82-nucleotide ribosomal RNA is filed under the name Tursiops truncatus (common bottlenose dolphin). Lineage: Eukaryota; Metazoa; Chordata; Mammalia; Artiodactyla; Delphinidae. The record is from RNAcentral.